This 75-nucleotide transfer RNA is filed under the name Rickettsiales bacterium (ex Bugula neritina AB1). Its description in RNAcentral is "tRNA-Leu". It matches the Rfam family "tRNA". From Rfam's summary of the family: Transfer RNA (tRNA) molecules are approximately 80 nucleotides in length. Lineage: Bacteria; Pseudomonadati; Pseudomonadota; Alphaproteobacteria; Rickettsiales. The record is from RNAcentral.
AUCCUCUUGGUGGAAUUCGGUAGACACGCUAGUUUCAGGUAUUAGAUUUUAAAGGUUCAAAUCCUUUAGAGGGUA